Molecule: ribosomal RNA, 443 nt
Filed under: uncultured bacterium
Lineage: Bacteria
Description: partial 16S ribosomal RNA
Rfam family: Bacterial small subunit ribosomal RNA
Source: RNAcentral
CCUACGUGAGGCAGCAGUGGGGGAUAUUGGACCAUGGGGGGAACCCUGAUCCAGCGACGCCGCGUGAGUGAAGAAGUAUUUCGGUAUGUAAAGCUCUGUCAGCAGGGAAGAAAGAAAUGACGGUACCUGACCAAGAAGCCCCGGCUAACUACGUGCCAGCAGCCGCGGUAAUACGUAGGGGGCAAGCGUUAUCCGGAAUUACUGGGUGUAAAGGGAGCGUAGACGGUUAAGUAAGUCUGGAGUGAAAGGCCGGGGCUCAACCCCGGGACUGCUCUGGAAACUAUUUAACUUGAGUGCAGGAGAGGUAAGCGGAAUUCCUAGUGUAGCGGUGAAAUGCGUAGAUAUUAGGAGGAACACCAGUGGCGAAGGCGGCUUACUGGACUGUAACUGACGUUGAGGCUCGAAAGCGUGGGGAGCAAACAGGAUUAGAUACCCGUGUAGUC